CUGUGGCAAAGCUAAACAAAAGAGUAUAUCGUGCGUGAGCCAUAGAAAAGUUUUCGUGUCAGUGAAUUUAAUCAGCAGAAAACGCAAGCACACCACAAAUUUUAAUAAAAUAUUUAUCUAUGAAUGUAAGAAGCGUUCGAAAACAAGCAGCUAGUAAUGGUGG
Molecule: long non-coding RNA, 163 nt
Organism: Rhagoletis zephyria (snowberry fruit fly)
Lineage: Eukaryota; Metazoa; Arthropoda; Insecta; Diptera; Tephritidae
Source: RefSeq, a predicted model, not a curated record